RNAcentral lists this ribosomal RNA (272 nucleotides) under uncultured bacterium. Its description in RNAcentral is "partial 16S ribosomal RNA". It matches the Rfam family "Bacterial small subunit ribosomal RNA", at positions 524 to 794 of the family's 1533-position model. The record is from RNAcentral.
UACGUAGGGUCCGAGCGUUGUCCGGAGUUACUGGGCGUAAAGCGCGCGCAGGCGGCGGUGUUGGCCCGGCGUGAAAGCCCCCGGCUCAACCGGGGAGGGUCGUCGGGGACCGCACCGCUUGAGGGCGGUAGGGGCUGGUGGAAUGCCUGGUGUAGUGGUGAAAUGCGUAGAGAUCAGGCGGAACACCCGUGGCGAAGGCGGCCAGCUGGGCCGUCCCUGACGCUGAGGCGCGAAGGCGUGGGGAGCGAACGGGGAUUAGAUACCCUGGUAGU